UACGUAGGGGGCAAGCGUUGUCCGGAUUUACUGGGCGUAAAGAGCGCGUAGGCGGAAGCUUAAGCGGUGCUUGAAAGCCCCCGGCUCAACCGGGGAGGGGGGUGCCGAACUGGGCUUCUUGAGGGCGAUAGAGGAAGGUAGGAUUCCGGGUGUAGCGGUGAAAUGCGUAGAGAUCCGGAGGAAUACCCGUGGCGCAGGCGG
Molecule: ribosomal RNA, 201 nt
Filed under: uncultured prokaryote
Description: partial 16S ribosomal RNA
Rfam family: Bacterial small subunit ribosomal RNA
Source: RNAcentral